This 542-nucleotide ribosomal RNA is filed under the name uncultured bacterium. Its description in RNAcentral is "bacterial SSU rRNA". It matches the Rfam family "Bacterial small subunit ribosomal RNA", at positions 389 to 945 of the family's 1533-position model. The record is from RNAcentral.
GAUCAACGCCGCGUGAGGGAUGAAGGCCUCUGGGCUGUAAACCUCUUUUAUCAAGGAAGAAGAUCUGACGGUACUUGAUGAAUAAGCCACGGCUAAUUCCGUGCCAGCAGCCGCGGUAAUACGGGAGUGGCAAGCGUUAUCCGGAAUUAUUGGGCGUAAAGCGUCCGCAGGCGGUUUUGUAAGUCUGUCGUUAAAGCGUGGAGCUUAACUCCAUUUAAGCGAUGGAAACUGCAAGACUAGAGUGUGGUAGGGGCAGAGGGAAUUCCCGGUGUAGCGGUGAAAUGCGUAGAUAUCGGGAAGAACACCAGUGGCGAAGGCGCUCUGCUGGGCCAUAACUGACGCUCAUGGACGAAAGCCAGGGGAGCGAAAGGGAUUAGAUACCCCUGUAGUCCUGGCCGUAAACGAUGAACACUAGGUGUCGGGGGAAUCGACCCCCUCGGUGUCGUAGCCAACGCGUUAAGUGUUCCGCCUGGGGAGUACGCACGCAAGUGUGAAACUCAAAGGAAUUGACGGGGGCCCGCACAAGCGGUGGAGUAUGUGGG